Molecule: ribosomal RNA, 468 nt
Filed under: uncultured bacterium
Lineage: Bacteria
Description: partial 16S ribosomal RNA
Rfam family: Bacterial small subunit ribosomal RNA (bases 48-468)
Source: RNAcentral
GGGGGGGGGGGGGGGGGGGGGGGGGGGAGGGGGGGGGGGCGGGGGGGGCCGGCUGUGGGGGGGUGCUCGGGGGGCGAACGGGUGAGUAACACGUGAGUAACCUGCCCUUGACUGUGGGAUAACUGCAGGAAACUGGGGCUAAUACCGGAUAGGAGCUCCUGCUGCAUGGUGGGGGUGGGAAAGUUUCGGCGGUGGGGGAUGGACUCGCGGCUUAUCAGCUUGUUGGUGGGGUAGUGGCUUACCAAGGCUUUGACGGGUAGCCGGCCUGAGAGGGUGACCGGCCACAUUGGGACUGAGAUACGGCCCAGACUCCUACGGGAGGCAGCAGUGGGGAAUAUUGCACAAUGGGCGGAAGCCUGAUGCAGCAACGCCGCGUGCGGGAUGACGGCCUUCGGGUUGUAAACCGCUUUCGCCUGUGACGAAGCGUGAGUGACGGUAAUGGGUAAAGAAGCACCGGCUAACUACGUG